This 4165-nucleotide long non-coding RNA is filed under the name Homo sapiens (human). Its description in RNAcentral is "non-protein coding lnc-DRD5-28:2". Lineage: Eukaryota; Metazoa; Chordata; Mammalia; Primates; Hominidae. The record is from RNAcentral.
GUCAGAAUGCUUCUGGGAGUCGGGGGGUGGGUGCCUUUCUGUUGCUAGCUUGUAGGAGAAGCUGGGCUGUAGGAAGUUUAUUUGCGGGGGGGUCUUAAAGACGCUGAAAGUACUGGCGGGCUUUGGUGGGGGUCUGGAAAAACCUCUCUGUACCUGUGACCGCGUUGCGUGGCGGGCGCUCCCCGGCCUCUCCUUUUUGACCGGUCCCGGGCGUUGCCCAGCCGCCAGUCCUCCUGCUCGGGUUUUGUAAGCAGGAGAGGGAUGCUUUUUACGUCUUCUUAAAGUACGGUUAAGUGCCCUUGCUUGAAGUAGUUGCUGGCAACAAGAACGUAGGGGUUACUCUUUGUUGGGCCUGAACUCGUGCUUUUUCUCUCAAAAGUUGAGCUUUUGAAAGGCAAAAAAGGCGUGGGGGAUGGGGGAGCUGUCGGUCUUAAGGAAGUUAAAGGUUAUUUCCUAAACAAAACAAGUCUCACUCCUAAAACCAGGGUAGUGGCUCAGUUGUGGCGGGAGAGCAGGGGCUGUAAAGUGUCCAAGUUUCUAGUCUCAUCUUUCAGUAGGAUGGGUACAAGCUUUCCCCUUGGGGCUCUGGGGGCUGGGAGGGUUGUAAAAGUGGGAGAAAGCAAAGUAUUUGGCGGGGUGCGGGCGGGUAGCUGAAUGUUGUUGUAAGUGGAAGAGGAAUGCUGUUGGCGUCUUUCUCUAAGCACGGUUAAGUGCUUUUUCUUGAAGUAGUUACUGGCAACAAGAACGUAAGGGUUACUCUUUGUUAGGCCUGAACUCGUGCUUUUUCUCAAAAGUUUAGCUUUUGAAAGGCAAAAGUGGGGGUGGGGGCGCUGCUGCUUUUAAGGAAGUUAAAGGUUAUUUCCUAAGAAAGCAAAACAAGCCCCACUUGUAAAACCCGGGUAGUGGCUCAGCUGGAGAGCAGGCGCUGUGAAGUGUACAAGUUUCUAGUCUCAUCUUUCAGUAGAAUGGGUACAAGCUUUCCCUCGGGGCUCUGGGGGUGGGAGGGUUGUAAAAGUGGGAGAAAGCAAAGUACGUGGGUGGGGGGUAGCUAAAUGUUGUUGUAAGCGGGAGAUGGAUGCUUUUGGCGUCUUUAAGCACGGUUAACUGCCCUUGAAGUAGUUGCUGGCAACAACGUAGGGGUUACUCUGCUGGGCCUGAACUUGUGCUGUUUCUCUCUCUCAAAAGUUAAGGUUUUUAAAAGGCAAAGGCGUGGGGAGAGGGGUAGGGGAGCUGCUACUUCUAAGGACGUUAAGGGUUACUUCAGAGCAAAACAAGCCCCACUUCUAAAACCAGGGCAGUGGCUCAAUUGUGGAAGGGAGAGCAGGGAAUGUGAAGUGUCCAAGCUUCUAGUCUCGUCUUUCAGUAGCGUGGGUACAAGUUUUCCAUUGGGGCUCUGGGGGCUAGGAGGGUGGUAAAAGUGGGAGAAACCAAAGUACUUGCGGGUAGCUAAAAACUCUGAAACCCACGCUGUGAGCGGUUCCUGCUUCUCUGAAAGGUCUGUUCUGCUUAAGGUUGUAUCAAGGUUAGUCUCUUGCUACCUACUUCUGUAGAGCAGUCUCUCGUGGCUCACCUGGGUUAGUGGCCAUGUUGCCUGUCUCCUAUUCUUCCUAACCUUGUGUGUUCUCCAGGUAGCUGAGUGAUCCAUCCGAAGUAAAAUAUUCCUCAGCUUGUCUGUAGGGGCUCCAAGUUUCAUGAAGUAAAAGCUAGUCUUGAAAACGGCCCAUUAGGGUCCUGGAUGACAGUCUCCGGGUCACUUAGACUCCGUUGUCCGCCUCCCCUCAUCUGUAUCAUCUUUGCCUUGGGUACUGGCUUCGGAGGGUGUUUUCCUGAAACUCUUACCUGAGAUCUACUUGGCUGACUCCUGUGUCCUUCAGAAGUACUUAAUUGCUCAAAUGUUAGUUGAUGAGUGUCACCGGUCUCAUUUUAAAUUGCAACUUCAACCCCUUGCAAACACUGCUUCUCAUUCCCGCGUUCCCUAACUUUAACUCUCAGGAAUAACCCUGACACCUGGAAGAUGCUCCUAGGGAUGACCCCACUCCCCACCCACAACUGUUAAUCAGGAAAUAACGGAUAUGAAAGUAGCUCUGCGAACUGAGGAGCCGUGGAGAAUGUACAAAACAGAUUCCUAAAGUAAGAUACGCAGGCCCGGCUUGUAGGCCGCUGCAUCUGCUUUGAUAACUUAGAACUCAUCAAAUCACCUUGAGACCCUUAAAACAAAUGGUAUAAUUGCAUUCACAGGUAGUGCAUUCGUGUAACAAGAUUAAGAAAACGAAGGACCAACUUCAAGCUCUUGCAAGCUGGUAACCUUUACACUCGUGCAUAAAGCCUUGCUGGAGUUGACACUGAAAACUAAACAGUCGAACUUGAGUAAAACAUAUCCAAACUCCCAGCUGCUGGGCUCUACAGCUUAUUUUUAGCUUGAAAGUUACAUGUUGGAGCUGCAGAGGCUUUAUGGUGGUGGUGGGGGAGCUGUUUGUUCGUAGUCACUUGAGUCUAUAUGAACGUGGCAGGAAAUCUGAAGGAUGUGAAAGGAAAAUGGGAAACACCAGGGUGUUCCAGGAUUUUCCCUGUGGGGCGCGAGCUCAGUUUGGUGUUGUCAGCUGUGGGAGCUUUAACACUUGAACCGUCUUUACUGUGGGUCUAGCCUAUUCGUUGGGCUCCCCUAGUCACCACUCAUGCCUUCGUGUAUCCUGUUGUGUUGGGCCCCCACUGAAUUAAAUAGGGAUGGCACCAUGUUCGAGAAGCCGAGGCGACCCAGAGCCAAUGAACACAUAUGGUGUAUGGAGGGGACUUGAAUACAGAGUGGUCCAGAGCAGCCAGCUGGGACAGAACUGCGCUUCAAAAAGCAGUUGAUACAGAUCAGGUACACCUACACUCCCAAGGUGUGGCUAAGCCGCUAUCAGGUGUCAAGCGUGUAAGGGUCACUGCCAGGAUAUACUUGAGUUGCUUUCAGCUGUCAUAACUCUCUAAUAGGAUGGGGAUCCUGAGGUCUGCAUACACCAGUGGUUCACAUCUCUGAGGACCCAGCUACUUCUCUGGCCCUUUCUGGAACCUGUCUACUUGGAGCUCCGUAGGAAGGGUCUGAAAGGCCCCUUACUCGCACUGAACGACAGCCAGAAUAAGACUAAUUUGCCUUCCCCUUCCCUGCUGAUUUCUCUGGGGUGCUGCUUCCGAUAGUGACCAGCGUCCUUGCAUCUCCAGCUGCACUGACCAGAAAUCUCACCCCCCACUUAGGUUAAAGCCUUCACUAAAUCUAGUUGCUUAGAACCUCUGUAUCAAAUCUUUCUGUAGCCACAGCCCUGCUUUGGUGCUCUUUAACCUGGGUUAUUCUAAUUUCUUCCUGACCAGUUAAUCUGUAUCUGCUUGGAGCCCCUUACUGCAGCCAGAGAAACUUUAAAAGCUUGUUGAGCCUUGGGUAGCCUAGGUUUCUAUCUUGAGACCGAACAUCCUCCCUGGGCUUCUGAGACACUGGCAUGCUGAGGCUCUGCCUGGCUCAAGGAGCAAGUCUCCUGGGUCAUUCUGUUCUGGCACCUGUCUCUGGGUCUUCACUGAUGCCUCAGUUUAAGGCCAAUCCACCCUCAAGCUAUACUCCCAUUUUGUUGCACACUGGUUUGCUUAUGACUAUGGGGUUCAUCAGCGUCUCGACUCUCCCCUUUUUAGGGAUUGAGAGCAGGGACCUUGUUGCUCGAGCACUUGUUGCAGGGGCCCACCCAGACAAUUGGAAACAGAACGCAGGUGUGCCAGAUCUAUGAACACCUGCGUGCUUUUCAGACAGUGGCAAUUCUUCCUUUUGCUGUGUGAGCGAGCAACAUAAGUAUCACCUGAACUUAAUUCUAAAGUGGCAACAAUGUGUUCUUGAAACUUCUAAGCAGCAGCAGCUUAGGAUACUUAACUCUUCGACUACCUUUGGGGUAAACUAGCUCCAAUUGGGUAACUUGGGCAAACCGCUAACUGGCGUCAGGUGCUAAAUGAGCUGUUUAACAGCUUUCCACUCAGGGGAAAACAAGUUUGGAGUGGGUUCUGAACGCUUUAUGUAACGCAAACAGUGGGGGCGUGUGGAUUCCUGGAAUGCACCUUGUCCUCUGAGCACGCUCUGAGUCCUGGCUUCUAGAGCCACAAACUGCAAAUACGUCAGAUGUGUGAGGCCUAUACUGGAAGCUUUGGG